AAACCAUGCAGCUGUGGACAGAACUCGCCUCGGGACCUCGGGCUGGGAGUGUCUCAGAGUGCAUGCCAGGCCUCCACAUCCCACCAACACAUGCUGCAGCACUGUCUGACUUCAGCAUCUGAAUGCAUGAGAAGCGGAGUCUCACUGGGGCUGUAAUCUGCAUUCUCCAGUGACCGGCAGUGCCACGCAGCAUCCCCCUGCUCACUGGCCACUGUAUGUCUAUGGAGAAACAUCUGUCCAGACCCAUCGCCCAUCUCUGCACCUUUCUGCUCAUUUCUAAGAGACGAGUUCUCCCUAUGUUGCCCAAGCUGCUCUCAAACUCCUGGGCUCAAGCGAUCCACCUGCCUUGGCCUCCCGAAGUGCUGGGAUUACAGGCGUGAGCCACCGCGCCCGGCCCACAUGAAUGAUUUAUUCCACUUGGCGCUCCUUUUCCUCGUUUCACUGUACAUCGAUGAAGACAUUGGCACCAACGCACAGGUCCAUGGAUCAGAGUUGAGGAAAGUCUGUUCCAAUCUUAACCCUUUUGGUGCUGGCUUUGUUUUACUGAAGACGAAACAGAGGGUCCAAGUGGUUACAUCCCGAGCGCCGGCAGUGGCUGCACGAGGCAGGACUGCCUCCAGCUCUAACUGUACUGCACCUGCACCCACCAGCCAGGGUCCGCCGCUUUCAGCCGGAAUCCAUAGACAAUUCACACGGCAAAGAGAGGAGACCAAGCUUGGGUUUCAAAAUGAGCUGAAAUAUCAAAGCAGAAUAAAGUCACUUCUUUAAACGUGGGGCCAUUUCAGAGUUAAUUUCACAAAAGGAGACAUCGUGUUGCUUCAAACUGCUGUGCAAACAUCAGAGUGACUCGUUAUCUAAGUCUCAGUCAGAAACACUGGCAGUCACUUCUGAUCUGCGUUAGAUUGUAAGUCAUUUGUUCUCCUCUAAAUAGCAACAAGAGGCCGGGCAUGGUGGUUCAUGCCUGUAAUCCCAACACUUUGGGAGGCCGAGGCAGGUGGAUCACAAGGUCAAGAGAUCAAGACCAUGCUGGCCAACAUGGUGAAGCCCUGUCUCUACUAAAAAUACAAAAAUUAGCCGGGUGUGGUGAUGCGCACCCAUAAUACCAGCUACACGGGAAGCUGAGGCAGAAGAAUCACUUAAACCUGGGAGGCAGAGGUUGCAGUGAACCGAGAUCACGCCACUGCACUCCAGCCUGGGGACAGAGCGAAACUCCAUCUCAAAAAAAAAAGAAAAAAAGAAAAGAAACUCUGAAGUCAGUCUGAAGCCUGGGAGGGACAAAGGUGUUUUGCAGGUUCCUGCAGCUCAGGCACCCAGCGGGGGCUCACUUGAGAGGGUUAAGAGGGUGAGUGCCUGGGAGGAGCCUUCAAUCAAAACUUAGCUGUAGCUGAGUCCAACUGUGUGGUACCUCCCCAGCACAGCCCUCUGACCUGGGAACAGGCCCAGAGAACACAGAGGGAGUGAAGGUUGGUUAUCUCCCCCUGAGGUCUGCGCUCCUACCCCUGGCUCCUGAUCCGAGCCCUUGCUGUCAGAGAAGACAGGAACCUCACACUUCCUGAACACGCGCAAUGCCCCUACCAAAACACGGGAGCUGCAGGCGGGCCUUUGGUCUUCUUCUGCUCCGUGCCCAUUGCCAUCUUCCAGAAGACACACAUCAUGCCUGUUCUCUCCUUCCACGCCAGGCCAGGGGAGAGGGUGGCCCCCACCCCAACCCCAACUCUGCUCCAACCGAAGGAGCCUCCUCCUGUGUGCACCCCCGUCCCCAGCACGGCGCAGCUCUACCACCAAACAGACAAAGCACAGCCAGCUCUGAUUGACCCAGGGAGGCCGGGGACCUUGCCCUCUGGAGCAGCCCACAUGGCCCACGGAUGGCGCAGUGGCCCCCACACAGAAGGCUGCCCUUGGGCUCCUUUCCGGAGCGGCAUGGCCCGGAGGAAGUGGCCAGGUAGCAAGGCCAGGCUACAGUGAGGCUGGCGGAAAGAAGAGGAAAUGGGCGUGGACACCAUCUGCCGGACUCAGAGCCCUGGGGACUCAGGCAGUCUGACAGCAACCUUGGCCCAUGAAAACACGGAGCCUAAGGGGCUCCCGGGAGAGGACAGUCCAGGCUCCGAGCCCAGCUCAGAUGAGAGGCUGCCCGGAUAAUGACCUUCAGAGGGCUCUGCUCAUCAUUACAUGAAAUUAUGCAAAUGAGACUUUAUGUAUUUAUUUAAGAGUCUCUGUUGCCCAGGUUGGAGUGCAGUGGUGUGAUCUGGGCUCAUUGCAAUCUCCACCUCCCAGGUUCAAGUAAUUCUCAUGCCUCAGCCUCCCAAGUAGAUGGGAUUACAGGCGUGAGCCACCGUGCCUGGCCAAGACUCUUUUAAAAUGCGAAUUCAGGCCAGGCGAGGUGGCUCAGGCCUGUAACCCCAGCACUUUGGGAGGCCGAGGCAGGUGGAUCACCUGAGGUCAGGAGUUCAAGACCAGCCUGGCCAACAGGGUGAAACCCCGUCUCUACUAAAAAUACAAAAAUUAGCUGGGUGUGGUG
This 2518-nucleotide long non-coding RNA is filed under the name Homo sapiens (human). Its description in RNAcentral is "HSALNT0387763". The record is from RNAcentral. Lineage: Eukaryota; Metazoa; Chordata; Mammalia; Primates; Hominidae.